Molecule: long non-coding RNA, 370 nt
Organism: Xenopus laevis (African clawed frog)
Lineage: Eukaryota; Metazoa; Chordata; Amphibia; Anura; Pipidae
Exons: 2
Source: RefSeq, a predicted model, not a curated record
UGAGGGAUGAUUAGCUUUACCUGGAGUUAAAAGGUGUGGCUCAAUUAAGGCUGCUCUCUGCCCUGUUCUGAGAGAGAAAGGAAAGCCACUACGGCUGUUUUUGGAAAUUUCAGUUAAACUGCAUGUAACCAAAUGUUAUUUCGCAUAAGGAUUAUUGCUGGACAUUUAAGAUUUUUUCACAUGGAGGCAAGUUCCCUGGUAUCAAGGACUGGCUACAAGCUGCUGCCCUAAAGUGCUUGGGAUUGAGCUGCACCUGCUUCAGAACGAAACAACAGGGAAACUCCAAAAGGACUGAUCAGGAGCAGCCAAAAGUAAUCAAUUGCAGGAAACACAAAUGAGUUCAGGAAGAAUUGAGGAACAAUACAAGCAU